This 275-nucleotide unclassified non-coding RNA is filed under the name air metagenome. Its description in RNAcentral is "partial contains small subunit ribosomal RNA, internal transcribed spacer 1, and 5.8S ribosomal RNA". The stretch from base 1 to 46 matches the Rfam family "Eukaryotic small subunit ribosomal RNA", at positions 1786 to 1831 of the family's 1831-position model. The record is from RNAcentral.
AAGUCGUAACAAGGUUUCCGUAGGUGAACCUGCGGAAGGAUCAUUAACGUAUCACUGGUGGGGCGUGUGCCCGGCUCCGGUCCAAAAGGCCGUGCAGCGGGCCCGUGUCCUGUCCAAACCCUUACAAACCCUCCGUGCACUUUAACGGUGGAGGGAGCCUGGGCGAGAGCUCGAGUUCCCGAACCCGUACCCACUAAACUCCAAAAAGAAUGAAUUGCGACCCACGUGUCGCCUAACAAACGAAACAACUUUCAACAACGGAUCUCUUGGCUCUC